UGUGUAUUUUGGAUAUGUGUAGCUGGCUGGGUUUGGGAUUGUUAUAUGGGAGGAGUUUGGUUUGUCUGGACCGUGGAUUGCGGCCCAUUUUGAUUUGGAACAGUAGGCUCAGAGGAGGAAGAAAGAUAAGGAGAGUUAGGGUGAGAAGACUAUAUCUGAUUUGAAGAUGACGACGACGAGUUUCACGUAGUUGUCGGAGUAGAUAACUGGUGAGGAUCAGAAGACGAGGGUUGAUGCGGCACAUAUAUUGCUUGUGGCAUCUGGAAGAAUGAUUGAGAUGUCAUAGUUUCUUCUGUCGAUCUGUCCGAUGUUGUCGCAGCAUUCUUUAUCUCAAAUGGAAAAUUGUUCUCGGCGAGUUGAACAUGACGAG
RNAcentral lists this long non-coding RNA (370 nucleotides) under Brassica napus (rape). RNAcentral's name for it is "long non-coding RNA (BNAP_LNC000542)". Lineage: Eukaryota; Viridiplantae; Streptophyta; Magnoliopsida; Brassicales; Brassicaceae. The record is from RNAcentral.